This is a non-coding RNA of Neoarius graeffei (lesser salmon catfish), 73 nucleotides long. The record is from the annotation of a RefSeq genome assembly. Lineage: Eukaryota; Metazoa; Chordata; Actinopteri; Siluriformes; Ariidae.
GUUUCUGUAGUGUAGCGGUUAUCAUGUUCGUCUAACACACGGAAGGUCCCUGGUUCGAAACCGGUCUGAAACA